This 411-nucleotide unclassified non-coding RNA is filed under the name Senecio lautus. RNAcentral's name for it is "partial contains external transcribed spacer and 18S ribosomal RNA". The stretch from base 360 to 411 matches the Rfam family "Eukaryotic small subunit ribosomal RNA", at positions 1 to 52 of the family's 1831-position model. Lineage: Eukaryota; Viridiplantae; Streptophyta; Magnoliopsida; Asterales; Asteraceae. The record is from RNAcentral.
UGGCUUACCUCCNUCAUUUAUGCGUCAUGACUUGUAUCGUCUUGAGCGUAUUGUGGGUUUCCUGUGUUGCAUACCUUUCUAAUGGUAUCGUGUUGAUUGAUCGAAGUCCCUUUUCAUCUUGUGUUGCUUUUUGUGACGCAUGAUGAACCUCGAGGCGGUCUCUAUGUUCCACUACGUUGAUGCUACUGUUUCGAUGUUGUGGCCCAUUGAGCGUUGCUUGGUUUUGUGGAUACAGAACAUGAUUUGGGCAUAGGGUUACUUGUGACUCUUGUUCUGUCCUUUAUCAGUGUUCUUUAUAACGACGGUUCAUGCGCGCCUAGGCUCGUACCUGCGCGAUGUUCUUUGUCGUAGAGGAAUGCUACCUGGUUGAUCCUGCCAGUAGUCAUAUGCUUGUCUCAAAGAUUAAGCCAU